UACUAGAGUAGCACUCGCAUAUCAAUAAGCGGAGGAAAAGAAACUAACAAGGAUUCCCCUAGUAACGGCGAGUGAAGCGGGAAGAGCUCAAAUUUGAAAUCUUAAAGGGUUUCCCUUUACGAAUUGUAGUUUAAAGAAGUGUUUUCUGUUGAGGUUUUGGUAAAAGUUCUUUGGAAUAGGACAUCAUAGAGGGUGAGAAUCCCGUAUUUGACCUUUACUUUCAACUUUGUGAUACACUUUCAAAGAGUCGGAUUGUUUGGGAAUGCAGUCCAAAAUGGGUGGUAAAUUUCAUCUAAAGCUAAAUAUUGGCGAGAGACCGAUAGCGAACAAGUACCGUGAGGGAAAGAUGAAAAGAACUUUGAAAAGAGAGUUAAACAGUACGUGAAAUUGUCAAAAGGGAAGCGUUUGACACCAGUGUUGUUUUUCUGAAAAUCAAUUAAAGAACUGUUUAUGCUAAGUUGUUUAGACUUUAUCAGCUAUCUGUUUAGUUUUGAGCUUUUCUUUAAUGCACUUUUCAGUUAACAAGUCAACAUCAAUUUCUUUUGCUGUAAAAAAGCUUGAGGAAGGUGGCUUGAGAUUCGUCUUAAGUGUUUAUAGCCUCUUGCCUAUGCAGUCGGAGAGAUUGAGGUCUGCAGCGUAGAUCCUUCGGGGCUAUAUGCAUUUGUGCUAAGUUAUAGCAUUUUAUAGACAACUUGUUGACUAUGAUUUGUCUUGUAGCUUACUCGCUUAUGUUAUUUUACCUACGCUUAGGAUGUUGAGCGCAUGUCUCUCUCU
This 774-nucleotide ribosomal RNA is filed under the name uncultured Neocallimastigales. RNAcentral describes it as "partial large subunit ribosomal RNA". It matches the Rfam family "Eukaryotic large subunit ribosomal RNA", at positions 20 to 616 of the family's 3401-position model. The record is from RNAcentral. Lineage: Eukaryota; Fungi; Neocallimastigomycota; Neocallimastigomycetes; Neocallimastigales.